This 76-nucleotide transfer RNA is filed under the name Myxococcales bacterium. RNAcentral describes it as "tRNA-Asn". It matches the Rfam family "tRNA". Rfam says of the family: Transfer RNA (tRNA) molecules are approximately 80 nucleotides in length. The record is from RNAcentral. Lineage: Bacteria; Pseudomonadati; Myxococcota; Myxococcia; Myxococcales.
UCCGGUAUAGCUCAGCUGGUAGAGCAAUCGGCUGUUAACCGAUGGGUCGUUGGUUCGAGUCCAACUACCGGAGCCA